Molecule: long non-coding RNA, 1596 nt
Filed under: Setaria italica (foxtail millet)
Lineage: Eukaryota; Viridiplantae; Streptophyta; Magnoliopsida; Poales; Poaceae
Description: long non-coding RNA (SITA_LNC005074)
Source: RNAcentral
AAAUAACCUAUAACUAGUCACAUGAAAUAACGACUCCAAAAUAGAUAGGUAUAAAUGCACCGGGGCUUGCCUGGGAUCAACAAGGUUAGUUCUUCGGAAAACUUCUUUAUUAAAAGAGGUACUCCACACUUCGCGAACGUUGUCCAUCUCCAGCUGAAUUCCAUGAAUUCCCACUCCAGGAGUUGCGACGUCUACGAUUCAGUAUAUGCAAGAGUUAGAGAUGCAAAUUUUUGAAUACAAGACUAUACAACUUUCCUUCAUGAUAAAGUUGCAAGCCAACAAGGACUAUACAAUUUAUCAUGAUAAAGUUGCAAGCCAACACACAAAAACCCGAAAAGAUUAGCCCACCAUUUUUAUUUCCUUUACUAAACCUACCUUAGACCUUUUUAUUUAUUUUUAAAAGCAUAAUAAUAAUUUUCUAAUCUCAAAACCUAAUUCCUAUGAAUUAAUAAUGAUUUGUGGAUAAUAAAGCAUUUUUCAAGUUUUUAUACAUUUAAUAAAGUUUAAGCAUUUAUUUAAAUACCUUAGAUAAAAAGGUAUUAAAUAAAUACCUAAAUUUUUAUUAUUUUUCCUAGGGUUUAAGAAUUUUAAUGCAUAAAGGAAAAUAAAACAAUCCUAAUAAAAUUGGUUUCACUAAUUUUGGAUACUUCUAGAAUUUCCUGUGAAUUUAAAUGGUGAAAACCCUAUUUAAUCUAUUUAUCUAAUAAAGAAAACCUAAGGUUUAAUUAAAACCCCGGGCCCAAACUUCUCUCACCUAACCUUCUUCUACCCACUAUCACUUCCACCUAGGGCCCAUCCGGUCUCCUAUUCUUCUUCUUCUUUUCUUCACUAGCAUGUGGGGCCCACGGCCGAAACCUUCUCUUGGGCCGGUUCCCCCUUCUCUCCUCUUUCUCAAUCCCGGCCGGCCCAUCUUUUCUUUCUUUUAUUUUCUCCUGGGCCGCACGGCUUAUUCUUCCCAACGCUCAACACGGCCCACCGGCUCCCCCUUUCCUUUUACUUGCGCGGGUCGGCUGGGCCGAUUCCUCCCCCUUGGCCCACGAACGGACGGCGGUCUCUCCUUUCUUUUUCUUCUUUACUCCCGCCUGAGCCUCUUGGCCCACUUCCUUUCCAAGCCAACCAACGGCCCAUUUGCUUUACCCUUUUCCUUUUGCACUGCGCGGCCAACUGGGCCGUUGCCUCCCCUGGCCCAAGACGUGGCUGGCCCUCUUCUUCUUCUCCUUCCCUUCCUCCUGUGCGCAUGGCGCCUUCUUCCUUGCGCCAAAACAGGGGUGCGCACGGGACCGGCGGGGGCUCGCCGGCUGGCGGCUCGCCGGCGGCCGAGAGGGACGGGGUGGCGGCACCCCAGGUCAGGCGCGCCCGUGCCCACCGCUAGCUCGCCGGGAGGCGGCCCGAGCCGGCCCCUCCACGGGCGGCUGCGGCUUGGCCAACCGCCGGCCAUGGCGGCGCACGGAGGCGGCACAAGGACAACCGGCGGCGCACUCUACGGCAUCCACAUGACCCAAGCACUCUCUAGACUCGACCAAAAGAGUGAAAGAAGGGGCGGCGCGGAGGACUCACCGGUGGACAGUAGUAGCGGCGGUAAACCGGAGAUGCGGC